Molecule: long non-coding RNA, 692 nt
Filed under: Mytilus galloprovincialis (Mediterranean mussel)
Lineage: Eukaryota; Metazoa; Mollusca; Bivalvia; Mytilida; Mytilidae
Source: RNAcentral
GGGAUUAAAUUAAACUUACAGUUAAGGGAUUAAAUACACAUACUACAACAGUGAACACAUGUGGAUUAAAACAUAAAACACACUUCAACUUGUUUGGGUUAAAUCUUAAAGUAAUUAACAAAACAAGAGAUACAAUUGAUAUAUUGCGGUCAGCGGAAACCUUGCAUUUUCGUGGAUAUGUGAUUUAGUGGUCUGUCAAAAUCUAGAUACAAUUUAAAGAAAUUUGUAUUUCGUUGAAAAUUUAAAUUUGUGGAUAAAAUCUGUAUACAUUCAUUACCACAUACCUAUUUAGUUCAUCCAAAUGUCAAAAUCAAAGUGAGUGAUUUGUAAGCACAGAAGUGUAAAUAUAUGCUUUACUUUAUCCUUGGGGAGUAAAAUCAAAUAUUUCGUUGUCAAUGAAGCUAGUCAAUUCAACUGCUAUCUGGAGAAUGGGAUAUAACUUAAAUCUCUAAGGUUGAUUUUAACAAUGACAUAAUUUAUAUUUUUAGAACAGAUAUUAGAUUCCUGCACCUCGCAAAAGCUUUGUAAUUUUCUUGACAUGUGGAACAUUGUUUUGAGACUUGAAUAUCUGAGCAUAUAGCAAAUUCAUAAUUUUCUGGAAAUGUUCAUGGAAAGGAUGUAUAUUAUGUUAAGAUCAACGCAUUAUAUUUUGUGUAUCAAAAAGGUAGUGAUAACCCUUGAAUGGAUUUAUA